AUUGAACGCUGGCGGCAUGCUUUACACAUGCAAGUCGAACGGCAGCGCGGGCUUCGGCCUGGCGGCGAGUGGCGAACGGGUCAGUAAUACAUCGGAACGUGCCCAGUAGUGGGGGAUAGCUCGGCGAAAGCCGGAUUAAUACCGCAUACGACCUGAGGGUGAAAGCGGGGGAUCUUCGGACCUCGCGCUAUUGGAGCGGCCGAUGGCAGAUUAGCUAGUUGGUGGGGUAAAGGCCUACCAAGGCGACGAUCUGUAGCUGGUCUGAGAGGACGACCAGCCACACUGGGACUGAGACACGGCCCAGACUCCUACGGGAGGCAGCAGUGGGGAAUUUUGGACAAUGGGCGAAAGCCUGAUCCAGCAAUGCCGCGUGUGUGAUGAAGGCCUUCGGGUUGUAAAGCACUUUUGGCGGGAACGAAAAGGACUGUGCCAAUACCACGGUUCGAUGACGGUACCCGCAGAAUAAGCACCGGCUAACUACGUG
Molecule: ribosomal RNA, 484 nt
Filed under: uncultured bacterium
Lineage: Bacteria
Description: partial 16S ribosomal RNA
Rfam family: Bacterial small subunit ribosomal RNA
Source: RNAcentral